UUCGUGGGGGUAAAUAUAAAGAAAAAAUUGGCAUAUGUUUUCUGGGAAAUAGGUUAAGAUUGAUUUUCAUUCAGCAAAUACUUAUCAAGCUUCUUCUAUGAUAUCAAGAACUAUGCUAUGCACUGGGGAAUAAAAAUUGAAAAAGACGGCGCUUGUGUGCAAGUAGUGCAGUCUAGUGGCGUGGCGGGGAUACACAAGUUGUAUAUCUAUGCUGAUUUUUUAAACUCUUACAAACUUUUUUUAUUUUGAGGAAGAUUAGCCCUGAGCUAACAUCUGCCGCCAAUCCUCCUCUUUUUGCUGAGGAAGAUUGGCCCUCAGCUAACAUCCGUGCCCAUUUUCCUCUAUUGUAUGUGGGAUGCCUCCCACAGCAUGGCUUGAAUCAGCUUAUCAAGUGGACAAUACACCAAAACAUCUCUCCAUUUAUCCACGUCUUCUUUUAUGACCCUCAGCAAAGUUUUGUAACUUCUUUGAAGGGCCUGACUGUGGCUGUUGAGCAUGCAUUGUAUAUCUGCUUUAGAGAUUCCCUAUGGCAAGAGCAAAGGCCCUUGAGAUAAAGGUGCAACUUCCCUCCCCCUCCCAACGUUGGCAUUUCUUUAAGGAUUAAGCAUCUUUCCUUAG
Molecule: long non-coding RNA, 618 nt
Filed under: Equus caballus (horse)
Lineage: Eukaryota; Metazoa; Chordata; Mammalia; Perissodactyla; Equidae
Description: lncRNA (ENSECAG00000054661.1)
Source: RNAcentral